GAUGAACGCUGGCGGCGUGCCUAAUACAUGCAAGUCGAGCGAACGGACGAGAAGCUUGCUUCUCUGAUGUUAGCGGCGGACGGGUGAGUAACACGUGGAUAACCUACCUAUAAGACUGGGAUAACUUCGGGAAACCGGAGCUAAUACCGGAUAAUAUUUUGAACCGCAUGGUUCAAAAGUGAAAGACGGUCUUGCUGUCACUUAUAGAUGGAUCCGCGCUGCAUUAGCUAGUUGGUAAGGUAACGGCUUACCAAGGCAACGAUGCAUAGCCGACCUGAGAGGGUGAUCGGCCACACUGGAACUGAGACACGGUCCAGACUCCUACGGGAGGCAGCAGUAGGGAAUCUUCCGCAAUGGGCGAAAGCCUGACGGAGCAACGCCGCGUGAGUGAUGAAGGUCUUCGGAUCGUAAAACUCUGUUAUUAGGGAAGAACAUAUGUGUAAGUAACUGUGCACAUCUUGACGGUACCUAAUCAGAAAGCCACGGCUAACUACGUGCCAGCAGCCGCGGCAAUACGUAGGUGGCAAGCGUUAUCCGGAAUUAUUGGGCGUAAAGCGCGCGUAGGCGGUUUUUUAAGUCUGAUGUGAAAGCCCACGGCUCAACCGUGGAGGGUCAUUGGAAACUGGAAAACUUGAGUGCAGGAGAGGAAAGUGGAAUUCCAUGUGUAGCGGUGAAAUGCGCAGAGAUAUGGAGGAACACCAGUGGCGAAGGCGACUUUCUGGUCUGUAACUGACGCUGAUGUGCGAAAGCGUGGGGAUCAAACAGGAUUAGAUACCCUGGUAGUCCACGCCGUAAACGAUGAGUGCUAAGUGUUAGGGGGUUUCCGCCCCUUAGUGCUGCAGCUAACGCAUUAAGCACUCCGCCUGGGGAGUACGACCGCAAGGUUGAAACUCAAAGGAAUUGACGGGGACCCGCACAAGCGGUGGAGCAUGUGGUUUAAUUCGAAGCAACGCGAAGAACCUUACCAAAUCUUGACAUCCUUUGACAACUCUAGAGAUAGAGCCUUCCCCUUCGGGGGACAAAGUGACAGGUGGUGCAUGGUUGUCGUCAGCUCGUGUCGUGAGAUGUUGGGUUAAGUCCCGCAACGAGCGCAACCCUUAAGCUUAGUUGCCAUCAUUAAGUUGGGCACUCUAAGUUGACUGCCGGUGACAAACCGGAGGAAGGUGGGGAUGACGUCAAAUCAUCAUGCCCCUUAUGAUUUGGGCUACACACGUGCUACAAUGGACAAUACAAAGGGCAGCGAAACCGCGAGGUCAAGCAAAUCCCAUAAAGUUGUUCUCAGUUCGGAUUGUAGUCUGCAACUCGACUACAUGAAGCUGGAAUCGCUAGUAAUCGUAGAUCAGCAUGCUACGGUGAAUACGUUCCCGGGUCU
Molecule: ribosomal RNA, 1372 nt
Filed under: uncultured bacterium
Lineage: Bacteria
Description: bacterial SSU rRNA
Rfam family: Bacterial small subunit ribosomal RNA
Source: RNAcentral